CUGAUGGAUCAUCAUGGUUCCUUCGAAGGCUUUCAUGAAGAGCAAAGUAUAAGAUUCAAAGUGAUCUUUUUACUUUUGGUUUUGUUAAUUGAUUGAGUGAGAGUGGGACGUAAGACUCAGAGAGAGCCUUGAUACUUCGGACACGGCUAUGAUACAGGGACUCAAAGUCCCUGUAUCAUAGAGGGGGUCAAUUUAUUGACCCCUUUGUUGUUUGGCUGCCAUCUGGCAGCCAAACAACUUUUUUGACUGGCAGCAACCGGUUUUACAGCCGGUUGCUGCCAUUAAUAUGUUUUUUUUAUUUAAAUAAAUUAAAAUAAAAAAUAUUUAAAACGAAUAAUAUUUAAAAAAUAAUAAUAAUAAGAAGUAAAAAAUGACAAGUAAAGUAAAAAUGAAAAAAAAUAUUUUUUAUUUUAAAUAUUUUAAAAAAUAAAAUAAAAUGUGUGUUAACAAAAAGAUAAAAAUUUUAUUCAUUUUCUAUGAAAUUUAUCUCAUGUUUAACAUUUUAAGUUUCAUAUUUUAUGUUUUAUGUUUCAUGUACUGAUUUUUCAAAUACCAAAAAAAAAAUUUUUUUGCACCCGUUUCAUGUUUACGUUCUAUGUUUCAUGUUUGAUGUUCUGUGUUUCAUGUUUUAUGUUUCAUGUUCACUGUUACGGAGGGACUCGUAUUUUAUGUUUGUUGUUGCAUAUUUUAAGUGAUAUGUUUCAUGUUGGUUGUGCAAUGUUUCAUGUACUGAUUUUUCAAAUACCCCAAAAAAAAUUUUUUUGCACCCGUUUCAUGUUUACGUUCUAUGUUUCAUGUUUGAUGUUCUAUAUUUCAUGUUUUAUGUUUCAUGUUCACUGUUACGGAGGGACUCAUAUAUUUAUGUUUGUUGUUGCAUAUUUUAAGUGAUAUGUUUCAUGUUGGUUGUGCAAUGUUUCAUGUACUGAUUUUUCAAAUACCCCGGAAUUUUUUUUUUUGCACCCGUUUCAUGUUUACAUUCUAUGUUUUAUGUUUGAUGUUCUAUGUUCUAUGUUCCAUGUUUUAUGUUUCAUGUUCACUGUUACGGAGGGACUCAUAUUUUAUGUUCGUUGUUGCAUAUUUUAAGUGAUAUGUUUCAUGUUGGUUGUGCAAUGUUUCAUGUACUGAUUUUUCAAAUACCCCGAAAUUUUUCUUUUUUGCCCCCGUUUCAUGUUUACGUUCUCUGUUUCAUGUUUGUUGUUCUACGUUUCAUGUUUUAUGUUUCAUGUUCUAUGUUACGGAGGUACUCAUAUUUUAUGUUUGUUAUUGCAUAUUUUAAGUGAUAUGUUGCAUGUUAGUGUGUGUAAUGUUUCAUGUACUAAUUUUUUAAAUACCCCGAAAUUUUUCUUUUUUGCCCCCGUUUCAUGUUUACGUUCCACGUUUCAUGUUUGCUGUUCUACAUUUCAUGUUUGACGUUGUAUGUUCACUGUUAUGGAGGUACUCAUAUUUUAUGUUCGCUGUUGCAUAUUUUAAGUAAAAUGUUUCAUGUUUGUUGUUUAAUGUUUGUUGGAAUGAUGAAUGUUGCAUCUUGAUUUAUGUUUUACUACAUGGCUUGAUAUGUUUGUUAUUAUAUGAAUUUAUGCUUCAUGAAUUAGAUAGCUUGAUAUACUUAUAAUUUUAUGAUUUUAUAUUUCAUGCAUUAAGGGCGCGUUUAGUGCAUGGGAUUGUGUGGUAUUAUACCACUAUUCACAUUAAUUUAUUACCAAGAAGUUGUUUGGUAAAAUUUGAGACCUCAUUAUACUACAUUAUAAUACAGCAUAAUGAGGCAUGGGGUCGCAUUACGCAAACCCAAGGGAACCUCGGGUUUGCGUAAUGCGGAAGCUUUUUGCCUCAAUUGAGGCAAAUUUAUUUUAUAAAAAUAUUAUAAAAAUAAAUUAUUUUAUUAUUAAAUACUAAUAUAAUGAAUAAAAUAUAAAAAUAAAUUAUAUGAUAAUAUUAUUUUAUUUAUUAAUGAUUCAUAUAAAAAUAAUAUAUUAAUAUUAUAAUAUUAUUUACAUUAAUAUUAAUUUUAAAAUUAAUAUUAUUUAAAUUUAUGCAAAUUUAAAUAUUUAUAAUUAUUUAUAUUAAAUUAAAAAUUUAUUAAUAUAUUAAAAUGUAAAAAUAAUAAUAUAUUGUAAAUUAAAAUAUAAUUUAAUAUUAUUGAAUAAUAAUUUAUUAAUUUAUAUUAACAAUUAUAAUAUUAAUUAUAAUCUAUAUUUAUUAUUUACAUAUAAUAUUAAAUUUUAUAAAUUUAUUUUAUCAUAAUUAUAAUACAAAUUUUAUAAAUUUAAUCAUUAAUUUUUAAUAUUUACUAAAAAAAUUGUUAAAUAGUUGCUUUGUUUGGAGGACUUGCUGGAACAUAACCGGAUUUCUGGUUCAAGUAAAACCGGCAAGCCGUUUACGGCUUGUAAGCUUCUGGUCACAAUCGGCUUGCCGGAUUCGGGACCUAUUUCUACUAUUCAUCUUCUUCCUCUCAUUCGGCAUUCCGGAUCUCCCUCUCUCUCUAAAAACCGUUUACUCCUCACUCAAUCUCACUCCAAAAUCCAUCAUUUUCUUCCUUUUUGGCAUCAAAUUGAGUCUCAAAAAUCAUUCCCCAUCACUUCAUUUACUCAAAAUCAUCUGUAAAAUCUAUUUUUAACAUCCAAAACUCUAGAUCUCAAAUUCAUCCUAGGGUUUAACCGAACUUUUCUCUCUCCAUUUUUAGCGGGAGCGGGAGCGGGAGCGGGAACAUGAGCGUGAGCAGGAGCGCGAGAGUGAGCAAGAGCGAGAGCGAGGAAGAAUGUGGGGAUGGAGAGGGAAAAAGAUGAGGAUUUUCUGGUUCAAUGUUCCCCGGGGGGGGAGGGGGAAGAACAAGGGGUGGGGGAGAAAGAGAGGGAGAUGAAAAUGCUUUUCUUCCGGUUGCCCUUCUUUUUUUGCUUUUAUUCACGUUUUUUUUUUUUCUUUCAAAUUAAAACCCCAACCGUUGGAUUCAAAUAAACUGAAUCCAAUGGCUCAAUGGCAGCCCCUGCACCAUACAGGGGAUUUUAGGCCCUGCAUAGUGUCCACUUACUUCGAAGGAAAGUGAAGUGUGAGACUUUUCGGUUAUCGUUUGGACUUUGGAGUGAUUCGUGAUUCGAGAGCGGCAUUCGCAGCGGGGACUGCCUCCUUUUCUGUCUGCCACGUGAACGGACACACUCAGUUUAAGUCUUGACUUUACACGUGUCAGUUUCUGGAAGAUAUAUUUCAUUCAAUCGCUGGAUUGUGUAAUAAUGUUUCUC
RNAcentral lists this long non-coding RNA (3233 nucleotides) under Citrus maxima (pomelo). RNAcentral describes it as "long non-coding RNA (CMAX_LNC001562)". Lineage: Eukaryota; Viridiplantae; Streptophyta; Magnoliopsida; Sapindales; Rutaceae. The record is from RNAcentral.